UCAUGUUCAUCAUUGACCUCUGCAGUCCCUCCCUCUGUGAUGUAGAGCUCUGUGUAGAUCUGAUUCAGAGGGGUUGGGUUUCCUGCUUUAGCGAUCCCCUCAAACACACACUGGAACUUCUUCUGAAGGUUGGAUUUGAGGUGAAGUUGGCACAUGGCAGGAGAUUCUGAAGGUAAAAGUUACACCAUUGAGCAUUCUCUCAAAGAAAUAUAAAAGAAAAAGAAAACAACAAAAGGCAUGGAGUAGAUAAAUGUCCAUAAUGAAGAUAAACAUGAGUAAUAUACACAAGAAGGGAAAAGUAUUUCUAUUUUAACUUAAUUUCUUCAAGGAGUUGCCUGUUUAGCCAACAGAAACUUUGCAAACCUGACUGACAGCCUGACUGACUACGGGAUAGUGAGUCCCUUUGUAAUGGUGAGUUAUCACUAAAGACAAGGUCAGUGCAAAGCCACACAAUUUUGUGUGUUUACGUGAGCUGAAAUAUUCAACUUUCAGCAAAAAAUGUGUUUGUCUCAGGGUUUUGCAUGGGGAGGGCCAGGUAAGUGAAGUUGGGCAGCUGUUGCUCAGCUGCUCAAGGCUGGACCACUCUGGAAAACUUUUAGGAUUAAAAAGUGGACUUAUCUUUACUCCUGUUCAUCAACUUGACUGCAGCAGUGAUCCACAGAGGUGCCACAACUUGUCAGGUGUUUGUUUUGUAAUGCUGACUGCUGACUCAAGGGUUA
Long non-coding RNA from Acanthopagrus latus (yellowfin seabream), 719 nucleotides. RefSeq lists it as uncharacterized. Lineage: Eukaryota; Metazoa; Chordata; Actinopteri; Spariformes; Sparidae. The transcript has 2 exons. The record is from RefSeq and is a predicted model, not a curated record.